CUGGGGUCCCAUGCUGCUGACCCACCUCUGAUGGAGAAGCAGCCACCCCCUCCCAGCAGGCUCUUUAGUGAAGAAUCUCCAGGGCCAGGCUGGCCAAGGCUGGUACUCAAUAGCUGUGGCUUCAGCUGCACAAGAGGAAUUUUCCACUGCCAGGUUCUAUUCAGCUCACGCCACCUCCUGUUUACAGCGAGCAGAAAGGUGCAGCCACCCCCACCCCCACGCUGGGCGCAGCCUCGGUGGGACGCGAGGGUGGGUAAUGGGAGUGUCCUGGCCCUGACAGCUGCCCCUGGAGUGCUGAGAUGCAGAGGCGCUGUACCCGAAGAGGAGCAGGACCCGGUGGCUGCCCUGCCUUCCCGACUCCCUCCUUCCCUGAUGCUCCCUUGCCUGGGACUGAGAGAUGCCCCGCGUGGGUGCAGGGCCUGCAGGGAGAACUCAGAGAAUAUAGGACUUUAAGACCCCGAACUCAGAUUCUACAAUGCCCAAGGGACCAAGAGAGAGCCAACUUCUAAGGUCUAAGCCAGAAGCUCCCAACUCCUGUGCCGCACUUCCAGAACCUUCUCAGCUCACUUCUAAGGUAACAGUUGAUCUGAGGGACAGCAACUGGCUAACUGGAAAGCUGAAGGGUUCUGUAACAGGAACAAGCUGGUGGGUAAGUAAAAAGAGUAAUGAACUAAAAGAAGAAACCUCUUCAGCCUCCUGGACACACCCAUGCUGAAGAGGUUGUUGGAAGAGAGUAUGUCUGCAUUAGAGACAGAAGUUGUAUGCCAAGAGAGCGAGAGCCUGGAUUUUGACCAACCGGGAGAAAGACUGACUCCCUAUUGUAUCUCCAGGGCUCUUGACUCUCCUCUGUCUUUGAGUGUCCCCUACUAAGCCCACACUUCAGAGACUGGUACCUCCACUCUUAACAGGCUGAAAACAGCCCAAGGAAGCCUCAAAGCUGACGUCUUGUAUACCACUUGUAUGCUUCAGUUUCCACCAGCAGGGACUCACAAAGAUUGCAUCUUUUGAUCAGUUAUGGGACCAGAACCUUGAAGAGGACCUGCAGAGGUAGCCACUGACAAAACUGCUUAACAAGAUAAAUCCUUGGGGGCCAAAGUGGUGGCUCAGAGGUUAGGAGCACUGGCUGCUCUUUCAGAUGACCUGGGCUUAAUCCCCAGCACCCACAUAAUGGCUCACAACUGUCUGUAACUAAAGUUCCUGACAUAGACAUACAUAUGCAGGCAAAACCAACAAUGCACAUAAAAAUAAAUGAAUAAAUAUUUUUUAAAAGAUGAA
Long non-coding RNA from Phodopus roborovskii (desert hamster), 1275 nucleotides. RefSeq lists it as uncharacterized. The record is from RefSeq and is a predicted model, not a curated record. The transcript has 3 exons. Lineage: Eukaryota; Metazoa; Chordata; Mammalia; Rodentia; Cricetidae.